CAAAAGAGAAAAGUUUGGCCAGUGACGUAGGAUCGUGUGGUGAUGGGAGUACCAGGCCUCUGUCACCAGCAGAACCUAGCAGAUUUUAAAAGAAAAUUAAAGCUACAAGUGACGAUGAAUUGGCCCUCCCACAUUAAUGCAAGUCGGACCUGUUGCAGCAGCAGGAUGUUCAGCAGAAUGGGUCUGUGAUGCAGCCAAGCAUGUGCAGCAAUUAUGAGCAAAAUGGGUAAAUGGUGCCAUCUAUUGGAAAUAGUGAAAGCUGAAAAUAUGAAGCCCGGCCUAUCAAC
Notolabrus celidotus (New Zealand spotty) is the source of this 287-nucleotide long non-coding RNA. RefSeq lists it as uncharacterized. Lineage: Eukaryota; Metazoa; Chordata; Actinopteri; Labriformes; Labridae. The transcript has 3 exons. The record is from RefSeq and is a predicted model, not a curated record.